Molecule: ribosomal RNA, 505 nt
Filed under: uncultured bacterium
Lineage: Bacteria
Description: partial 16S ribosomal RNA
Rfam family: Bacterial small subunit ribosomal RNA
Source: RNAcentral
GACGAACGCUGGCGGCGUGCCUAAUACAUGCAAGUAGAACGCACAGUUUAUACCGUAGCUUGCUACACCAUAGACUGUGAGUUGCGAACGGGUGAGUAACGCGUAGGUAACCUGCCUGGUAGCGGGGGAUAACUAUUGGAAACGAUAGCUAAUACCGCAUAAUAUUAAUUAUUGCAUGAUAAUUAAUUGAAAGGUGCAAUUGCACCACUACCAGAUGGACCUGCGUUGUAUUAGCUAGUAGGUGAGGUAACGGCUCACCUAGGCGACGAUACAUAGCCGACCUGGGAGGGUGGUCGGCCACACUGGGACUGGGACACGGCCCAGACUCCUACGGGAGGCAGCAGUAGGGAAUCUUCGGCAAUGGACGAAAGUCUGACCGAGCAACGCCGCGUGAGUGAAGAAGGUUUUCGGAUCGUAAAGCUCUGUUGUAAGGGAAGAACGGGUGUGAGAGUGGAAAGUUCACACUGUGACGGUAUCUUACCAGAAAGGGACGGCUAACUACGUG